AAUCAAAGGAGCUGCCUGAAGAGCUCAGAGACAGAAUUGUGGCAAGGCACAGAUCUCACCAAGACGCUGUGACUGCAGCCCGAAAAGAUGCAGGUUUAUCUGGCCCGUUCCAGCUGAAUAGCCCAGCCACCCCAGAGCGGGCAUGUCUGGCCUGUGCCACACACUUUACAAAGAUGGUUGCACAAAGUGGAGCAAGUU
This is a long non-coding RNA of Puntigrus tetrazona (Sumatra barb), 198 nucleotides long. RefSeq lists it as uncharacterized. NCBI's taxonomy places the organism in Eukaryota, Metazoa, Chordata, Actinopteri, Cypriniformes, Cyprinidae. The record is from RefSeq and is a predicted model, not a curated record. The transcript has 3 exons.